Molecule: ribosomal RNA, 777 nt
Filed under: uncultured Neocallimastigales
Lineage: Eukaryota; Fungi; Neocallimastigomycota; Neocallimastigomycetes; Neocallimastigales
Description: partial large subunit ribosomal RNA
Rfam family: Eukaryotic large subunit ribosomal RNA
Source: RNAcentral
CGUCUAUAUACGUAUAGCAUAUCAAUAAGCGGAGGAAAAGAAACUAACAAGGAUUCCCUUAGUAACGGCGAGUGAAGCGGGAAGAGCUCAAAUUUGAAAUCUUCAAGGUUCUACCUUGACGAAUUGUAGUUUAUAGAAGUGUUUUCUGUUAGUAGAGUGGCAAAAGUUCUUUGGAAUAGGACAUCAUAGAGGGUGAGAAUCCCGUAUUUGGUCAUUCUUUCUAGCUUUGUGAUACACUUUCAACGAGUCGGAUUGUUUGGGAAUGCAGUCCAAAAUGGGUGGUAGAUUCCAUCUAAAGCUAAAUAUUGGCGAGAGACCGAUAGCGAACAAGUACCGUGAGGGAAAGAUGAAAAGAACUUUGAAAAGAGAGUUAAACAGUACGUGAAAUUGUCAAAAGGGAAGCGUUUGACACCAGUGUUGUUUUCUCGAAAAGUCAAUUACAAAUGGUUUGAUUUUUGAGUAGUUAUGACCUUCAAUCGCUUUCUCACUUUCUUUACGUACUUUCUUAAUGCACUUUUCGUUUAACAAGUCAACAUCAGUUUCUUUUGUUGUAAAAGGUAUGAGGAAGGUGGCAUUUCUUUUCGGAGAAAGUGUUUAUAGCCUUGUGCCUUUACAAUCGGAGAGAUUGAGGUCUGCAGCGUAGAUCCUUCGGGGUUAGAUACGUUUGUGCUAAGUUAUAGCUUUUCAUAGACAACUUGUUGACUAUGUUUAGUCUUGUAGCUUACUCGCUGACGCUAUUUUACCUACGCUUAGGAUGUUGAUAGUCACAGCGUGUAC